This 458-nucleotide ribosomal RNA is filed under the name uncultured bacterium. RNAcentral describes it as "partial 16S ribosomal RNA". It matches the Rfam family "Bacterial small subunit ribosomal RNA", at positions 338 to 795 of the family's 1533-position model. The record is from RNAcentral.
CCUACGGGAGGCAGCAGUGGGGAAUAUUGCACAAUGGGGGAAACCCUGAUGCAGCGACGCCGCGUGCGUGAAGAAGUAUUUCGGUAUGUAAAGCUCUAUCAGCAGGGAAGAAAUAGCGACCUUUGGGUCGCCAGACGGUACCUGACUAAGAAGCCCCGGCUAACUACGUGCCAGCAGCCGCGGUAAUACGUAGGGGGCAAGCGUUAUCCGGAUUUACUGGGUGUAAAGGGAGCGUAGACGGCAGGACAAGUCUGAAGUGAAAUGCCGGGGCUUAACCCCGGAACUGCUUUGGAAACUGUGGAGCUAGAGUGCAGGAGAGGUAAGUGGAAUUCCUAGUGGAGCGGUGAAAUGCGUAGAUAUUAGGAGGAACCCCAGUGGCGAAGGCGGCUUACUGGACUGUAACUGACGUUGAGGCUCGAAAGCGUGGGGAGCAAACAGGAUUAGAUACCCUGGUAGUC